This 446-nucleotide ribosomal RNA is filed under the name uncultured bacterium. RNAcentral's name for it is "partial 16S ribosomal RNA". It matches the Rfam family "Bacterial small subunit ribosomal RNA", at positions 338 to 795 of the family's 1533-position model. The record is from RNAcentral.
CCUACGGGUGGCAGCAGUCGAGAAUUAUUCACAAUGGGGGAAACCCUGAUGGUGCAACGCCGCGUGGGGGAAUGAAGGUCUUCGGAUUGUAAACCCCUGUCAUGUGGGAGCAAAUUAAAAAGAUAGUACCACAAGAGGAAGAGACGGCUAACUCUGUGCCAGCAGCCGCGGGAAUACAGAGGUCUCAAGCGUUGUUCGGAAUCACUGGGCGUAAAGCGUGCGUAGGCUGUUUCGUAAGUCGUGUGUGAAAGGCGCGGGCUCAACCCGCGGACGGCACAUGAUACUGCGAGACUAGAGUAAUGGAGGGGGAACCGGAAUUCUCGGUGUAGCAGUGAAAUGCGUAGAUAUCGAGAGGAACACUCGUGGCGAAGGCGGGUUCCUGGACAUUAACUGACGCUGAGGCACGAAGGCCAGGGGAGCGAAAGGGAUUAGAUACCCGUGUAGUC